AACCAUUGGAAACGAUGGCUAAUACCGCAUAAUGUCUACGGACCANAGAGGGGGACCUUCGGGCCUCUCGCUUCAGGAUAUGCCCAGGUGGGAUUAGCUAGUUGGUGAGGUAAUGGCUCACCAAGGCGACGAUCCCUANCUGGUCNGANAGGAUGAUCAGCCACACUGGAACUGANACACGGUCCAGACUCCUACGGGAGGCAGCAGUGGGGAAUAUUGCACAAUGGGCGCAAGCCUGAUGCAGCCAUGCCGCGUGUAUGAAGAAGGCCUUCGGGUUGUAAAGUACUUUCAGUCGUGAGGAAGGCNNUNNNGUUAAUAGNUGNGUNGNUUGANGUUAGCGACAGAAGAAGCACCGGCUAACUCCGUGCCAGCAGCCGCGGUAAUACGGAGGGUGCGAGCGUUAAUCGGAAUUACUGGGGCGUAAAGCGCAUGCAGGUGGUUUUGNUUAAGUCNNNAUGUGAAAGCCCCGGGGGCUC
RNAcentral lists this ribosomal RNA (476 nucleotides) under Vibrio sp. MR05-41. Its description in RNAcentral is "partial 16S ribosomal RNA". It matches the Rfam family "Bacterial small subunit ribosomal RNA", at positions 145 to 612 of the family's 1533-position model. The record is from RNAcentral. Lineage: Bacteria; Pseudomonadati; Pseudomonadota; Gammaproteobacteria; Vibrionales; Vibrionaceae.